Lagopus leucura (white-tailed ptarmigan) is the source of this 186-nucleotide long non-coding RNA. RefSeq lists it as uncharacterized. The record is from RefSeq and is a predicted model, not a curated record. Lineage: Eukaryota; Metazoa; Chordata; Aves; Galliformes; Phasianidae. The transcript is spliced from 3 exons.
GACUCACCAACAAGGCCAUUCAGGACUGAAUGCAUUUCCAGGAUGAAACUUAGACCGUAUCAGCUGGAGAGAGAUCCCAAAAUACUUGAAGCCAAAUAGGUCCAUCUUGUGUUGAAGAAACCAUCUCCAUGGAUGUCAGAAAUAUGAAUGAAUUCAGGUCAAAAACUUAUUUUUUUUUAACUGAUC